RNAcentral lists this ribosomal RNA (253 nucleotides) under uncultured bacterium. Its description in RNAcentral is "partial 16S ribosomal RNA". It matches the Rfam family "Bacterial small subunit ribosomal RNA", at positions 524 to 776 of the family's 1533-position model. The record is from RNAcentral.
UACGUAGGUGGCAAGCGUUGUCCGGAUUUAUUGGGUUUAAAGGGUGCGUAGGCGGUCUAUUAAGUCAGUGGUGAAAUAUCGCAGCUUAACUGUGAGGGUGCCAUUGAUACUGAUGGACUUGAGUGAAGUCGAAGUAGGCGGAAUUGACGGUGUAGCGGUGAAAUGCUUAGAUAUCGUCAAGAACACCGAUAGUGAAGACAGCUUACUAGGCUUAUACUGACGCUGAGGCACGAAAGUGUGGGGAUCAAACAGG